RNAcentral lists this transfer RNA (87 nucleotides) under Methanobacteriota archaeon. Its description in RNAcentral is "Euryarchaeota archaeon (groundwater metagenome) tRNA-Ser". It matches the Rfam family "tRNA". Rfam says of the family: Transfer RNA (tRNA) molecules are approximately 80 nucleotides in length. Their secondary structure includes four short double-helical elements and three loops (D, anti-codon, and T loops). Further hydrogen bonds mediate the characteristic L-shaped molecular structure. tRNAs have two regions of fundamental functional importance: the anti-codon, which is responsible for specific mRNA codon recognition, and the 3' end, to which the tRNAs corresponding amino acid is attached (by aminoacyl-tRNA synthetases). tRNAs cope with the degeneracy of the genetic code in two manners: having more than one tRNA (with a specific anti-codon) for a particular amino acid; and 'wobble' base-pairing, i.e. permitting non-standard base-pairing at the 3rd anti-codon position. The record is from RNAcentral. Lineage: Archaea; Methanobacteriati; Methanobacteriota.
GUCGGGAUAGCCAAGUCUGGUCUAAGGCGCUGGUUUGCUAAACCAGUGUCCCUUUGGGACGCGAGGGUUCAAAUCCCUCUCCCGGCG